Molecule: ribosomal RNA, 465 nt
Filed under: uncultured bacterium
Lineage: Bacteria
Description: partial 16S ribosomal RNA
Rfam family: Bacterial small subunit ribosomal RNA
Source: RNAcentral
CCUACGGGAGGCAGCAGUAGGGAAUCUUCCACAAUGGGCGAAAGCCUGAUGGAGCAACGCCGCGUGGGUGAAGAAGGUCUUCGGAUCGUAAAACCCUGUUGUUAGAGAAGAAAGUGCGUGAGAGUAACUGUUCACGUUUCGACGGUAUCUAACCAGAAAGCCACGGCUACCUACGUGCCAGCAGCCGCGGUAAUACGUAGGUGGCAAGCGUUAUCCGGAUUUAUUGGGCGUAAAGGGAACGCAGGCGGUCUUUUAAGUCUGAUGGGAAAGCCUUCGGCUUAACCGGAGUAGUGCAUUGGAAACUGGGAGACUUGAGUGCAGAAGAGGAGAGUGGAACUCCAUGUGUAGCGGUGAAAUGCGUAGAUAUAUGGAAGAACACCAGUGGCGAAAGCGGCUCUCUGGUCUGUAACUGACGCUGAGGUUCGAAAGCGUGGGUAGCAAACAGGAUUAGAUACCCCAGUAGUC